CGGAGUGUGGCGUAGCUUGGUAGCGCGCUCGGCUGGGGGCCGAGAGGUCGCAAGUUCAAAUCUUGUCACUCCGA
Transfer RNA from Marvinbryantia formatexigens DSM 14469, 74 nucleotides. It matches the Rfam family "tRNA". Rfam says of the family: Transfer RNA (tRNA) molecules are approximately 80 nucleotides in length. Their secondary structure includes four short double-helical elements and three loops (D, anti-codon, and T loops). Further hydrogen bonds mediate the characteristic L-shaped molecular structure. tRNAs have two regions of fundamental functional importance: the anti-codon, which is responsible for specific mRNA codon recognition, and the 3' end, to which the tRNAs corresponding amino acid is attached (by aminoacyl-tRNA synthetases). tRNAs cope with the degeneracy of the genetic code in two manners: having more than one tRNA (with a specific anti-codon) for a particular amino acid; and 'wobble' base-pairing, i.e. permitting non-standard base-pairing at the 3rd anti-codon position. The record is from Rfam. NCBI's taxonomy places the organism in Bacteria, Bacillati, Bacillota, Clostridia, Lachnospirales, Lachnospiraceae.